This is a long non-coding RNA of Arachis stenosperma, 572 nucleotides long. RefSeq lists it as uncharacterized. NCBI's taxonomy places the organism in Eukaryota, Viridiplantae, Streptophyta, Magnoliopsida, Fabales, Fabaceae. The record is from RefSeq and is a predicted model, not a curated record. The transcript is spliced from 3 exons.
GCUUUUGUGCGGUUCAACGAUUUUUUGUCGGUUUUCUAAUUACCAGUUUUAUAUACCUGCUCGGUCUGUUAGUGUUAUUAGUUUGCGGUUAAACCGAUCCAAUCGACCGGUCCGUCCAGUUUCCAGGUUUAUUGUUGAGAACAAAAACCGCCCUCAAUUAAGCAUCAACACAUUUUGCGUUCAAUAGUGAGGUUGCAAUUAUUCAUCUUUUUAUUGCAAUAUUUUUUCUGUAGGAGCUGCAUGAAAGAGGUCCAGAUGGAGGACCAUGCUCUACUCUCUUCAUUGCAAAUCUUGGUCCAAACUGCACUGAAGAUGAACUGAGAAAAACUUUCUCAGUGUAUGCUGGAUUCAACAUGGUCAAAAUCCGUUCUAGAGGAGGAAUGCCGGUUGCAUUUGCUGAUUUUGAUGAAGUUGAACAAGCUACUAAGGUCAUGGAGCAGCUUCAGGGCAGCAUGCUGUCGUCGUCAGAUCGGGGUGGCAUGCACAUACAGUAACUUCGAACCUAAUGGUUUCUAUUAAUUUUAGAAACUCUAGCUAGGAUUGAUGUCUUAUGUCCCUAAAUAUUUUCUUGU